CCUACGGGAGGCUGCAGUGGGGAAUAUUGCACAAUGGGUGAAACCCUGCUGCAGCAACGCCGCGUGAGCGAUGAAGGCCUCCGGGUCGUAAAGCUCUGUCCUAAGGGAAGAAUACUGACGGUACCUUAGGAGGAAGCCCCGUCUAAGUACGUGCCAGCAGUCGCGGUAAUACGUAGGGGGCUAGAGUUUUCCGGAAUUACUGGGCGUAAAGGGUGCGUAGGCGGCCGUUCACGUCAGAGGUGAAAGGCUACGGCUCAACCGUAGUAAGCCUUUGAAACUGUCGGGCUUGAGUGCAGGAGAGGAGAGUGGAAUUCCCAGUGUAGCGGUUAAAUGCGUAGAUAUUGGGAGGAACACCAGUUGCGAAGGCGGCUCUCUGGACUGUAACUGACGCUGAGGCACGAAAGCGUGGGGAGCGAACAGGAUUAGAUACCCGUGUAGUC
Molecule: ribosomal RNA, 440 nt
Filed under: uncultured bacterium
Lineage: Bacteria
Description: bacterial SSU rRNA
Rfam family: Bacterial small subunit ribosomal RNA
Source: RNAcentral